GUAUUCUGCACGGACUGCUGGGCAGCACUAGCACUCUGGAGAAGGUCUGCCGCUGUCUGCACUUUCCUGGUUCUAUGCAGGCAGAUGAGUGUCACAGCUGUAACUGAGGCACAGAGCAGUACACACAGUGGAGCCGAUUUCCGCGAUGGCGAGAGGGGGCACCGGAGGUGACAACAAUAACAAGACUGUCCUUCGGACAAGUUUUAGGAAGAAUGACUUGGGCAAUACCAAAUGUUGAGUUAUCAAGUAUUUCGAUACCCAUAUGCAUCAUCUGCUGUAAGUAUUCUCAGGAUGAUGGAGUGAGUGAUGGAAUAGGUUGCCAACUGUAGUUACUCCACUCAGCACAGAAUGGCUGCGGGGAAAUAUAAUCAGACAUGCCCAAAGAAGUCUGCUUAGGGUGAAACAAAUACCUUUGAGGUUUAAAUCAGAAAGGAAGGAGAGACUGUUUCUACAGGUGUCAUACAAAAAUCAAUACUGAGCCAAGGAUUAUUGGAUCCCAUAGAACCACGGAGACUUGGUAGUGAAAUUCUUCCAAAGCAUUCCAUCCGUGCAGGCAGAUGGUGUUCCUAGGUUUGGAAAUAUAAAUCCCAUGGGAAGUCAGCUGAAGACCAUUUUAUGCAUCACUCAUCCUGUUAGAGCCCUGUGCUGUUCUGUCUCUCUAUAAGACUGGCUGAAACCACCACGGUUGUUUACAAUUUAUGCUCUAACUUUGGAUCACCUAGUUAAUACUCUAACUCCGAUUAUUACCAAAGACAAUGUUCUAUAAAAGAUAUUGUCUAUUAGAAGGAUGCUUCUGCAUUAUUAAUAAAAUCACAGGGAAAAUGCAACAUUUUGGAUGUCACAUCUGAUAAGUUGGCAGUUAAAGAACAGAAACAGCAAUAAGACUGCGUGGCUACAUUUUCCCAGUGCCACCAACUGGGAUUUAAGCUGACUAACAUUUUGAAAGCCCAGCCCAUUUCAUUCACAGCAGGAUGGCAGUGGGUGACUGAUCGUACCCGCCAGCUGGCUAAUGUCAUAAUUAACAAAGUUGCUACUACAUCUGCAAAGUUUAAUCGAAAAAUUUGCCAGUGAUAUGAUGGCCUUGUCACAGAGAUCACAAGGGACACGGAGUUGACUUUUGCUCAAGGUGGAACGACAGAGCUGUGUAGGCAAGAUGAGAAAUUGCGAACUUGUUCGGCCAAAGGAUUAUCUCCUGAGAUGUGUAGAAAUGAACUCUUGUCAGAGUUUCAAAGGAAUUAACGUUUUUUGGUAAAAUGUGCUAAUGUAAAGAGUGAGAAGAUUAGUGAUACAUAAUGAAAGCAAUGCAUUCUUUCACAUGGAAAUGGGAAUAUAAUAAAUGUCCUGCAGGUGAUUGGGGCUGUAGCAAUUUUAUUGAAGAUUAAAGUUUGAUUGACCUUUGUUAGGGUGAUUAACCCUUCUGAAAUUAAAAGCCAGAGCUGAAUUAUUCUGCUCAAUUUAAAUGCAAACAUCGAGCAGGUCGUAUGUCAUUCAAAUAAUAAUAAGAAGAAAAUCUUCCUAUUUUAAUUUUCAUUUUUGCACUUCUGAGUGGUAUGCUGCUUUAGAAGGACCAUAGCUCUCGCAAAAGCAUUCUGGUGGCAGAGAAUAUACAAUAACGUUACAGAUAAUUGGGAGCAUAUAGGAAGAGUCCCAAGCACUACUGCCUGCAUUCGAAACAUCAAAACCACCAUCCCAACAAAAGCACGGAGCAUGAAGCCAAUCUCUGUACACUGAAAAUGCAUGCUCCCAAUAGAAAAACAACCUAGGGAUGUCCUGAAGGGGUUAGGAAUAAAUAACAAUGACAUCUCUAUUCUAGUUCAGUGCCAACCACCGAAAUUGCAUAUCAUAUCCAUGUUAAAUCUACAUGAUGUCUCCUGGAAAUGCGUGCUUUUUGGUACAGUUGCUUAUGAAGCAGUUUCUAAAAGUUGAUUAUUUCUGAUGUCUGGAAUUUCAUUCUCCAUGAUCUCUGGCAGUUUCUGAAUAUAUUCAGUAUUUUCAUUAAGUUCAAAAAUGCUGUAGGAGAAGCUAACGAAUUAUUUGCAAUGCCAUUUAAUGGUUUAGUUUUAUUUUUCUCUGUUAAAUUUUCUAAGCCUUGGUGAAAAGUUGUGUAUUCACAUUUCUUCAAAAAACUGUUUCCAUUUUUCAUAUCAUGUUAAUUUUGUUUAGUUCUAAGUCAGUGAAUAUUUUUAGUCUUAGGUCCCACCACAUAGUGAAUGUGUCUGCCUUUUAUGUAUCUGUGAACUAUUAAAAUGAUAAUAAAGGUUCUCUUCCUUCCA
RNAcentral lists this long non-coding RNA (2273 nucleotides) under Homo sapiens (human). The record is from RNAcentral. Lineage: Eukaryota; Metazoa; Chordata; Mammalia; Primates; Hominidae.